Molecule: ribosomal RNA, 393 nt
Filed under: uncultured bacterium
Lineage: Bacteria
Description: partial 16S ribosomal RNA
Rfam family: Bacterial small subunit ribosomal RNA
Source: RNAcentral
AUACGGAGGAUGCGAGCGUUACCCGGAUUUAUUGGGUUUAAAGGGUGCGUAGGCGGUUAUGCAAGUCAGCGGUGAAACGCAAGGGCUCAACCCUUGACCUGCCGUUGAAACUGCGUGACUUGAAUGCGGAUGCUGUGGGAGGAAUGUGUGGUGUAGCGGUGAAAUGCAUAGAUAUCAAACAGAACACCGAUUGCGAAGGCAUCUCACAAAUCCGUGAUUGACGCUGAGGCACGAAAGUGUGGGGAUCAAACAGGAUUAGAUACCCUGGUAGUCCACACUGUAAACGAUGAUGACUCGCUGUCGGCGAUAUACAGUCGGUGGCCAAGCGAAAGCGAUAAGUCAUCCACCUGGGGAGUACGACCGCAAGGUUGAAACUCAAAUGAAUUGACGGGG